Long non-coding RNA from Lotus japonicus, 1137 nucleotides. RefSeq lists it as uncharacterized. The record is from RefSeq and is a predicted model, not a curated record. Lineage: Eukaryota; Viridiplantae; Streptophyta; Magnoliopsida; Fabales; Fabaceae. The transcript is spliced from 3 exons.
ACAUUAAUGAGCAUUUACAAAAUUAACAUUAAUGAGAAGAGAGAAAAAUAGAGAUUGUUCAAGUUUCCAGAUUCUGAAGAGAGAAAUAGAGAGGCAUUGUUGAAAGGAGAGUUCACUGAUUUAGGGUUUUUCAUAUUCACCAACGGCGGACGGCGGGGUUGUCGGCUAGGCCGUUCUUCAUCGUCGGCGGCAGUGAUUUGGUUCGUUGAGGGUGGCGUCUUCAUCGUCAACGUGGUAAUGGAAAGUAUAAGGGAGGAAGAAGACCAGAUCCAUUUUGCUGAUGUGUUGGUUUUGUUUUUGGAAAGUUUUGCUGAUCUGUUACAUUAUUCGUUUGAUCUAUAUUGAUUUUUCUCAGGUACAAUUGAACUUACUUAACUCUUAACUUGGAUGUAAAUGUAACAGGAUUUGAGUGAUCAUCAUGUUGGUUAAGAUGAUAUAUUGACAUAGUUAGAAAGGCACUUGUUGUGUGUGUCUAACUCCAAGGACUGGUUCAGGGAACCACUGGCAUGUAUGUCCAAUAUAGUGUAAGAAAAUUGUGGGGAAGGGAAUUUCUACUGAGCAAUAUAUAUGGAAGCAUGAAAUUGGUGAGGAUAUUGGCAUAACUCUGGUCUGCUGUCAAAAGGAAUGAUGAAGGGCUCUCUAUUGGUUGUUGCACAUUGUAAUUUUGUGAAAAGAGAGCUCAUGUUUGAUUUGUCAUAGCCAGUAUUAAGUGCUAAAUUAUACAGGGAAGUAUCAUCUGUGAAGGCCAACAUAACUGGCCAAGCUCAAAGAAAUAGCAGAAUUGUUCAUUUAGCUUCAAUUGCUAGGUUCUUAAAACAACCGAGAGCAGUACUUUGGAAGGAAACAAGAGGUCUUAGUCAUCUUCUCAUGAACAAAAUCAACAUCAAUCGAAACUUUAGAAGGCUCUUUGUGGAGGUCCCAGAAUUAUUUGGUUUCUGAGGUACCCAACUGAGGUUUUAACAACACAACAGAUCUUUUGAUUCUUUUGUAAGUUUUCUUGGCAGCAUCUGUGGUACUUUAAUGUGCUCUGUUUUGUGGCUGCUUUUUUUUCAUGUACUUGGGUCUAGCACCCCUUGUGCUAGUAUUAAUACAUUUUGGCUUACCAAAAAAAAUAUGGUACCCUUUUUGUCCUUUCAU